Molecule: ribosomal RNA, 559 nt
Filed under: uncultured Glomus
Lineage: Eukaryota; Fungi; Glomeromycota; Glomeromycetes; Glomerales; Glomeraceae
Description: SSU rRNA
Rfam family: Eukaryotic small subunit ribosomal RNA
Source: RNAcentral
AAUUGGAGGGCAAGUCUGGUGCCAGCAGCCGCGGUAAUUCCAGCUCCAAUAGCGUAUAUUAAAGUUGUUGCAGUUAAAAAGCUCGUAGUUGAAUUUCGGGGUCAGUAGGUUGGUCAUGCCACAGGUAUGUACUGAUCUUACUGAUUCCUCCUUCCUGAUGAACCGUAAUGCCAUUAAUUUGGUGUUGCGGGGAAACUGGACUGUUACUUUGAAAAAAUUAGAGUGUUUAAAGCAGGCUAACGCUUGAAUACAUUAGCAUGGAAUAAUGAAAUAGGACAUCGCAUUCUAUUUUGUUGGUUUCUAGGAUCGAUGUAAUGAUUAAUAGGGAUAGUUGGGGGCAUUAGUAUUCAAUUGUCAGAGGUGAAGUUCUUGGAUUUAUUGAAGACUAACUACUGCGAAAGCAUUUGCCAAGGAUGUUUUCAUUAAUCAAGAACGAAAGUUAGGGGAUCGAAGACGAUCAGAUACCGUCGUAGUCUUAACCAUAAACUAUGCCGACUAGGGAUCGGAUGAUGUUAAUUUUUUAAUGACUCAUUCGGCGCCUUACGGGAAACCAAAGUGU